AGAGUUUGAUCCUGGCUCAGAUUGAACGCUGGCGGAAUGCUUUACACAUGCAAGUCGAACGGCAGCACGGGGGCAACCCUGGUGGCGAGUGGCGAACGGGUGAGUAAUACAUCGGAACGUGCCCAGUCGUGGGGGAUAACGUAGCGAAAGCUACGCUAAUACCGCAUACGAUCUCUGGAUGAAAGCGGGGACCGCAAGGCCUCGCGCGAUUGGAGCGGCCGAUGGCAGAUUAGGUAGUUGGUGGGGUAAAGGCUCACCAAGCCGACGAUCUGUAGCUGGUCUGAGAGGACGACCAGCCACACUGGGACUGAGACACGGCCCAGACUCCUACGGGAGGCAGCAGUGGGGAAUUUUGGACAAUGGGCGAAAGCCUGAUCCAGCCAUUCCGCGUGCAGGAUGAAGGCCCUCGGGUUGUAAACUGCUUUUGUACGGAACGAAACGGUCCUGGUUAAUACCUGGGGCUAAUGACGGUACCGUAAGAAUAAGCACCGGCUAACUACGUG
Molecule: ribosomal RNA, 503 nt
Filed under: uncultured bacterium
Lineage: Bacteria
Description: bacterial SSU rRNA
Rfam family: Bacterial small subunit ribosomal RNA
Source: RNAcentral